UGAUCUCAUCAGGUAAAGGUGUGUUAAAUGGAAGGGCAAGUCUCACCACUGAGAGGAAAACAUCACUGGUCCACCUCUGCAUCAGGUCAGCUAUGUUGAUCAGUACUGUCCCAGGGAUGCUGGGAGCAGAGAUGAACUCCCCUGACCUGGUACCAUCUAUGGAGUUGUCAUUUUAAUAUCAGUUUAACCCCAUUACUGCUAUAACACAUAAACCAUGUUAAUAGAAUGAAAUGGAUCCAGGUUCCAUUUAUUCUACAUUAGAUUUACUGCCUGUGGAACACUUCUCCAAAGUGGUCUGAAAUCAAGAUGACUGCAGGUCUGAAUCCCAAACUAAUGGGGGGAAAUGUAUCCAUCUAAUAAGAUGGUAUUUAGAGAUAUGGAGAAAAACAUCACAAACUCUACUAUUGGGGUGAACAAAUUCCAUUAACAUACAUACGGGGCAGUCAGAAACAUUUUGUUACGUUACAGCCUCAUUCUACAGUGGAUUAAAUAAAUCAUGUUCCUAUUCAAUCCACACACCAUACCCCAUAAUGACAUCACAAUACCCCAUAAUGACCUCACAAUACUCCAUAAUGACAUCACAAUACCCCAUAAUGACAUCACAAUACCCCAUAAUGACCUCACAAUACUCCAUAAUGACAUCACAAUACUCCAUAAUGACAUCACAAUACUCCAUAAUGACAUCACAAUACUCCAUAAUGACGUCACAAUAUCUCAUAAUGACAAAGCGAAAACAUGUUUAUUUUUAUUUUUUUUUGCAAAUGAUUAACCGAAAUACCUUAUAUAAGUAUUCAGAACCUUUGCUAUGAGACGUGAGAUUGAGCUCCGGUGCAUCCUGUUUCCAUUGAUCAUCCUUUUAGAUGUUUCUACAACAGGAUUGGAGUCCACCUGUGGUAAAUUCAAUUGAUAGGACAUGAUUUGGAAAAGCACACACCUGUCUGUAUAAGGUCCCACAGUUGACAGGUCAUGUCAGAGAAAAAUACCUCCCUGACCAAGGCCCUUCUCCCCCCAUUGCUCAGUUUGGCCAGACGCCCAGCUCUAGGAAGAGUCUUGGUGGUUACAAACCUCUUCCAUUUAAGAAUUAUGGCCAUUGUGGUCUUGGGGACAUUCCAUACCGAAAACAUUUAAUGGUACCCUUCCGCAGAUUGGUGCCUUGACACAAUCCUGUCUCGGAGCUCUACAGACAAUUCCUUCGACCUCAUGGCUUGGUGAUGAAACAAAGAUUGAACUCUUUGGCCUGAAUGCCAAGAGUCACAUCUGGUGGAAACCUGGCACCAUCCCUACGGUGAAGCAUGGUGGUGCAGCAUCAUGCUGUGGGGACGUUUUUUAGUGGCAGGGACUGGGAGACUAGUCAGGAUUGAGGGAAUGAUGAACAGAGCAAAGUACAGAGAGAUCCUUGAUGAAAACCUGCUCCAGAGCACUCAGGAACUCUGACUGGGGUGAAGGUUCACCUUCCAACAGGACAAUGACCCUAAGCACACAGCCAAGACAAUGCAGGAGUGGCUUCGGUACAAGUCUCUGAAUAUCCUUGAGAGGCCCAGCCAGAGCCCGGACUUGAACACGAUCUGACGAUCCACUGAAUCCUCAGAAUUGAGUCAUGUUGGGGAUGGAUGAUCUUUGACAUCGUUCAGUAAUUGAGUCAUGUAGGGGAUUGAUGAUCUUUGACAUCGUUCAGUAAUUGAGUCAUGUAGGGGAUUGAUGAUCUUUGACAUCUUUCAGUAAUUGAGUCAUGUAGGGGAUGGAUGAUCUUUGACAUCUUUCAGUAAUUGAGUCAUGUAGGGGAUGGAUGAUCUUUGACAUCUUUCAGUAAUUGAGUCAUGUUGGGGAUGGAUGAUCUUUGACAUCUUUCAGUAAUUGAGUCAUGUAGGGGAUGGAUGAUCUUUGACAUCGUUCAGUUCUUUCUCUGACGGGUCUGAGUUUGUGUGAGUGGCGUGUUUUUCUUUCAGAGUUUGUGAUGAUUGGUUGUGGUAGAAGGUUCCUGUUGUCAGACUGGAGGAACUGAUGGUCAACUGGAGGCUGUUGGGUUCUUCUCUCAAUCAGGGGUCAGAGGUUGAGGGUUCAGUGUGCUGAUGUGUAGUUGUUGUAUCAUGGUUUUUGGUUAACAUGUCCUGUUGCUGGGUAAAGUUCAUGAUGACGUUGAACACAUCUUUAUCAAGGGUGCCAAUACUUCUGGACCUAACUGCACACUGUAGUGGUGGGGCAGCAUGCAUCACAUGUCUCCAUGACCCUGUGGGCUGAACCCUCAAUGCUGCAGAGGCCCUAUGCUCCUCUAGGAGGUUGUUGAGGCCCUAUGCUCCUCUAGGAGGUUGUUGAGGCCCUAUGCUCCUCUAGGAGGUUGUUGAGGCCCUAUGCUCCUUUAGGAGGUUGUUGAGGCCCUAUGCUCCUCUAGGAGGCUGUUGAGGUCCUCUGCUCCUCUAGGAGGUUGUUGAGGUCCUAUGCUCCUCUAGGAGGUUGUUGAGGCCCUAUGCUCCUCUAGGAGGUUGUUGAGGUCCUCUGCUCCUCUAGGAACUAAAAGAGAAGUAAGUCAUAUGUCACCACCACCCAAUAUGACUUCAUACAUCUCCAGCUUAUUGAAAUUACAGCCUGAAAACUCAGUGUCUUUUUUCCCUUCAUGUUCCUGUACUCACUCAGGUUGUACCAUUGAUAUAAAAAGCAUUUGACACAACUGUUGUGUUAAAUGGGUUGUACAACCCGAGAGGGUAUGUGGACAAUAUGUGUUUGUUUUCAGGUUGAAGUUGUCCCCCAUCCAGCCCUCCUCUAGAGGAGUGAGGAGAAUGAUAUCAACUCAUGUGUUUCCAGGUUACUUCAGUAUGAUCCUAUGAACCAAUCUGAAGUCAGAUGGGGCUUCUACAUGAAACAGGACAUUUCAUUGAUAGGACCGUGGGAAAGGUGGGUCUCCAUCAACCAUGUUAGAAACUGAUUGACAUCAUCAACCAUAUUAACAAGUGUGUGAACAUAUUCAUAUUCAGUAUGGAAAAGUACCUGAGGAAAUAAAACACAUUUUAUGAAACCCAUGAGAGAUAUAUUUAUAAUGUAUAUUUAUCCUUCAAAGAGCGACUACUUUGUGAGGUUCAGCCUUUCGUUGGUGAAUGUUCUCAGAAAGGGGGACAUUGGGGAAUCUGAAUAGAUAAGACCUGACAAAAUACUACCUCUAUGUCCUGUGUUCUACAUCCUGGGUAUUACUGUCAUCACCACAGCAGAUAACUGUGUUCUACAUCCUGGGUAUUACUGUCAUCACCUCAGCAGAUAGAUAACUGUGUUCUACAUCCUGGGUAUUACUGUCAUCACCACAGCAGCUAAAUAACUGUGUUCUACAUCCUGGGUAUUACUGUCAUCACCACAGCAGCUAGAUAACUGUGUUUUACAUCCUGUAUUAAUGUCAUCACCACAGCAGCUAGAUAACUGUGUUCUACAUCCUGGGUAUUACUGUCAUCACCACAGCAGCUAAAUAACUGUGUUCUACAUCCUGGGUAUUACUGUCAUCACCACAGCAGAUAGAUAACUGUGUUCUACAUCCUGGGUAUUACUGUCAUCACCACAGCAGCUAGAUAACUGUGUUUUACAUCCUGGGUAUUAAUGUCAUCACCACAGCAGCUAGAUAACUGUGUUCUACAUCCUGGGUAUUACUGUCAUCACCACAGCAGCUAAAUAACUGUGUUCUACAUCCUGGGUAUUACUGUCAUCACCACAGCAGAUAGAUAACUGUGUUCUACAUCCUGGGUAUUACUGUCAUCACCACAGCAGCUAGAUAACUGUGUUUUACAUCCUGGGUAUUAAUGUCAUCACCACAGCAGCUAGAUAACUGUGUUCUACAUCCUGGGUAUUACUGUCAUCACCACAGCAGAUAGAUAACUGUUGAUGUAAGACUCCAAGCCAAACAUACUGCAAACCAACCAUUUUGAAUUGCAGGUUUAUUCACAGGGUCCCAGUCAUCAUGUGACUCUCUAAUGGAUUCCAAUGAAAACCUUGUAGACUGAUAUAGGACACUUUUAUCCAAAGGUGAAUGUCUUUAAACUGCAUUGUUCUCAUGAUGUGUGUGUAGCAGUGUGAUGUUGUUCCACUAGAUUACACACCAAGUUGCACACAAGGACCAGUUCAAAUAGGUCAAGAGGGGAUGUUAAUUAGUUUGAUAAUAAUAAUAAUUCAGUGUGUUUUUUUAUUUAAUUACAGCUGCAUAGAUAAUGUUAUUUUUUGGUGUACAAACACUUUUUCAUAUCUAUAUAAUAAAUACACUUGAUUGUAAAAGUGUUGUAUAUUUUGGUUUGGUCCAUCGCGGGUUUCUGUAUUUCUGUUCGCCCUUAUUGUUCUCUCUUGCCUGACCUUUGUUGGAUUCUGUAUUUUACAUUAUAGCCAUUAGCAUAUAUAGGAUUAAAUAUGAUCUGAUGUUGGUUGUGUGAGGUGUCUGCAUUUGUGCACUGGAGCAUCAUUAUGAGAUUAAACAACUGCUUGCUACUUGCCUGUUUGUGUGUGACAAGAACUGAGUAACAUGGUGUGACCUGCAUGUUGCAAAACUGUAGAUAACAGCCCAGCAGAUGCUUUGUCCUUGUGUUUGUAUGUAACAAUAUUGAGCACAUGGUGUGACUUGCUGUAACUUACAAAGUUGUGAUAGGGAGGGGUGGUCAUCACGAGGUUUAACUGAGAUGGAAAAAUACUGAACAACACAAUAGCAGGAACUGAGCAACUGUUCUAACUAGGCUGCGAUACCAGAACAGUAAGGAUCUAUACAUCGACGGAGGGAGGAAGAAGCGCCAAGAGGCGGGGACCAGCCUGAGCGCCUGCGAUAGGCUGGGCAAGUUUAAACCACGCCCAGUCUCUACUGUGAUAGGCCAACAGACGGGUUGGAACUAUGUCUAUCAUAAUGUGUAUAAGAACACUGUCUACGUACAUCCUGUCAGUUCUCUGUUCUGCCCUGCGUGGUAUUACAGUGAGCCCGUAUAUACGAAAGUUGCAUUUGCCAUUUAUUACUUAGCUAAUAAAAAAUACAUAGUAUAAAA
Molecule: long non-coding RNA, 4994 nt
Organism: Oncorhynchus tshawytscha (Chinook salmon)
Lineage: Eukaryota; Metazoa; Chordata; Actinopteri; Salmoniformes; Salmonidae
Source: Ensembl